UGUCACGCUUUUGAUGGAGGCGUCUCGCUCCUUGCUUCACGGUGACAGAAAGUUAGACGAAUCCUCAGCCUCCAGCAGGGAGAUUGUUCUCAAUAGGUACGUGUUCAUUAUUCUGACCAAGCCUGUUCCCACCACGCCGGUUUCCUCUGUAGAAUUCAGCAGCUGGAACAUUUGUGCAGUAAAAAGGUAACUCUGCAUUUUAAAGAUGGGUUUUGUCAGCUUUUAAUAAUGGGACCACAGUGUGACCACUACAUCUACACUGAUACCCUAAACCCCGCUGCAGGAACUGAGAGUAUCAGUGUCUGGGCUCGUGUGACAGCGGGGCGGGGAUGGUAAGCAGCGCAGUGACCCGGCGCUGGAGACGCACUGUGCACAGCAGACAUCAUGGCUGGGAGGGGAGACGGCCGGGCUACGGAUACGCGUUUGCCGGAGCACUGGAGGGAUGUGCGAGAAUGGAGCGUGGAGAAGAGACAGAGCCACCAAAUGUGGGUUGCAGAUGUGGAAGCUGUCCUCAGGUCCAUGGAGAGACAGUUGAAUGCUUCACUGGAGAAAUAUCCUCGUACAAGCGCAGUCUGCCCAGAGCGUUGUCCUCCAUCUCCUUUGAACCGCGGCGGGUGUCUCUGCUGCCGACCAGCUGAUCCGGAGAGGCGCCUUAAGAUGGUCUGAAAUGAUUUGGAGGCAAGAGAAACGCUCAGCGAUCCCGUUUUCUUUGCAAACCUGAACCCUUCAAUCCCUCAUGCAAUGACCUGUCCUCAUAAGCCGUUUUUGCCAUUCAGCUGAGGAAAGUCAUUUCACACUUGAGUGUAUCUUUACUUAUCCGUCCCCUGAGCGCUGAAAAGUAGAUUUCAACUUGAGAUCUUCCCGCGAUGACUUCCAGCUUCAUGUUCUUAAUACUCUGCUAACGACUGACUAAUGAAUAAACAAGUCUCUCUGCGA
Gasterosteus aculeatus aculeatus (three-spined stickleback) is the source of this 936-nucleotide long non-coding RNA. Lineage: Eukaryota; Metazoa; Chordata; Actinopteri; Perciformes; Gasterosteidae. The record is from Ensembl.